GGGUGAGUAAUGCCUAGGAAUCUGCCUGGUAGUGGGGGACAACGUUUCGAAAGGAACGCUAAUACCGCAUACGUCCUACGGGAGAAAGCAGGGGACCUUCGGGCCUUGCGCUAUCAGAUGAGCCUAGGUCGGAUUAGCUAGUUGGUGGGGUAAUGGCUCACCAAGGCGACGAUCCGUAACUGGUCUGAGAGGAUGAUCAGUCACACUGGAACUGAGACACGGUCCAGACUCCUACGGGAGGCAGCAGUGGGGAAUAUUGGACAAUGGGCGAAAGCCUGAUCCAGCCAUGCCGCGUGUGUGAAGAAGGUCUUCGGAUUGUAAAGCACUUUAAGUUGGGAGGAAGGGCAGUAAGCUAAUACCUUGCUGUUUUGACGUUACCGACAGAAUAAGCACCGGCUAACUCUGUGCCAGCAGCCGCGGUAAUACAGAGGGUGCAAGCGUUAAUCGGAAUUACUGGGCGUAAAGCGCGCGUAGGUGGUUUGUUAAGUUGGAUGUGAAAGCCCCGGGCUCAACCUGGGAACUGCAUCCAAAACUGGCAAGCUAGAGUACGGUAGAGGGUGGUGGAAUUUCCUGUGUAGCGGUGAAAUGCGUAGAUAUAGGAAGGAACACCAGUGGCGAAGGCGACCACCUGGACUGAUACUGACACUGAGGUGCGAAAGCGUGGGGAGCAAACAGGAUUAG
RNAcentral lists this ribosomal RNA (681 nucleotides) under Pseudomonas sp. JA51-2. RNAcentral's name for it is "bacterial SSU rRNA". It matches the Rfam family "Bacterial small subunit ribosomal RNA", at positions 104 to 781 of the family's 1533-position model. Lineage: Bacteria; Pseudomonadati; Pseudomonadota; Gammaproteobacteria; Pseudomonadales; Pseudomonadaceae. The record is from RNAcentral.